GAUCAGAUUAAGUCGGUGCAUCGCCUCUUGAGCACUACUGGGCUACAUGGACGCUUGUGUAAUUUGUGGAGGCGUAAAGUUAUCAUAUCUAAUUAAUCUCGGUGUCAUUAUCGCGUGGUGUGAUCGUGCCCAGUGCUAGAACGUGGUGCAGACUUGGCGGAAGGUGCCAACAUAGCGGCAGAAUUGACAGGCAGGUCAGGUGCUGAGGUGUGAUAUUACUUACCUGCCUGUCUCCUGGGCCUUGGUUGGUGCCUGUCUCGUGGCCAUCCCCGGGCGUCGCUGCGUUCAAGGCCUGGCGAGCAGCUGAGACACAUGACAACUCGAGAAGCGUGACACGUGCCCAUGUUGACAGAAUUGACGUUUAAGAGCUUAAUUAACGUAACGAUCCGUCCAUUACGCCUCCCUUUGUCUCAGCGGCGUGCACUCAAUCAUCGGGCGGCGCGUGGCGGUGUGUUGUCACGGAGCUAUAGCGGUGACACUCAGGCGCUGUCAGGUCGCGUGUUUGGUGCGUGGAACUGGUGCUUCCCCCCACACCUACAAACAACUUUCUAGGCUCACAGCAGGACAGCGUGAACGAAGCAUCGCUUGUGGUUGGUUUUGAGCACAACCCAGCCGAGCAAGUGUGAACUCCUGCUAACCUACCUAUGUUAUAUAUAUGCCUGAUUGUGUCGAAAUAAACCAGUUUCUG
This is a long non-coding RNA of Portunus trituberculatus (swimming crab), 688 nucleotides long. RefSeq lists it as uncharacterized. Lineage: Eukaryota; Metazoa; Arthropoda; Malacostraca; Decapoda; Portunidae. The transcript has 3 exons. The record is from RefSeq and is a predicted model, not a curated record.